Molecule: long non-coding RNA, 213 nt
Organism: Callorhinchus milii (elephant shark)
Lineage: Eukaryota; Metazoa; Chordata; Chondrichthyes; Chimaeriformes; Callorhinchidae
Exons: 2
Source: RefSeq, a predicted model, not a curated record
GGGAGUGGUGGGCGCAGCCGGUGGUGGUUUCCUCGCUUCGUAUCAGGAUCUCUUGGACUUCAAACGCAAAAGCCGCGGUUGGUGUGGAGCCGUCGUGCUUGAAGAUGGCGGGCGGGCGGGUGUGAGGGAGGAAGAUUAAUUCUGGAACCUAUGGCAAGAAUCACACAGUCUGAAUGUGGAUGCAGGACCUGAUGUAUUUCAUGAAUUCUGAGG